Molecule: ribosomal RNA, 637 nt
Filed under: uncultured bacterium
Lineage: Bacteria
Description: bacterial SSU rRNA
Rfam family: Bacterial small subunit ribosomal RNA
Source: RNAcentral
AUUGAGUUUGAUCCUGGCUCAGGAUGAACGCUGGCGGCGUGCCUAACACAUGCAAGUCGAACGAAGCAUGCGGAUGGAAUUUCUUCGGAGAGGAAGCCUGCAUGACUGAGUGGCGGACGGGUGAGUAACGCGUGGGUAACCUGCCCUGCACAGGGGGACAACAGCCGGAAACGGCUGCUAAUACCGCAUAAGCGCACAGCUUCGCAUGGAGCAGUGUGAAAAGCUGCGGCGGUGCAGGAUGGGCCCGCGUCUGAUUAGCUGGUUGGCGGGGCAACGGCCCACCAAGGCGACGAUCAGUAGCCGGCCUGAGAGGGUGGACGGCCACAUUGGGACUGAGACACGGCCCAGACUCCUACGGGAGGCAGCAGUGGGGAAUAUUGCACAAUGGGGGAAACCCUGAUGCAGCGACGCCGCGUGAGCGAAGAAGUAUUUCGGUAUGUAAAGCUCUAUCAGCAGGGAAGAAAUUGACGGUACCUGAGUAAGAAGCUCCGGCUAAAUACGUGCCAGCAGCCGCGGUAAUACGUAUGGAGCAAGCGUUAUCCGGAUUUACUGGGUGUAAAGGGAGCGUAGGCGGCCUGCCAAGUCUGAUGUGAAAUACCGGGGCUCAACCCCGGGGCUGCAUUGGAAACUGGCAGGC